GGAGCGGCCGCGGAGCUGGAGUAGCAUGUGGGCGUUCGGAGGUCGCGCAGCCGUGGGCUUGCUGCCCCGGACGGCGUCCCGGGCCUCCGCCUGGGUCGGGAACCCGCGCUGGAGGGAACCGAUCGUAACCUGCGGCCGCCGAGGCCUACAUGUCACAGUCAACGCCGGCGCCACCCGCCACGCCCAUUUGAACCUCCACUACCUCCAGAUUCUGAACAUCAAAAAGCAGAGCGUCUGCGUGGUGCAUUUGAGGAACUUGGGGACAUUGGACAACCCAAGCUCUCUAGACGAGACAGCGUAUGAAAGACUGGCGGAAGAGACCCUGGACUCCCUGGCCGAGUUCUUUGAAGACCUCGCAGACAAGCCCUAUACCCUGGAGGACUACGAUGUCUCUUUUGGGGUACCUCUUGGCUCUGUUGCGUUCUGUCUUCUCCUUAAUAACGGAUGGCGUGCUCACCAUUAAGCUGGGCGGGGAUCUAGGGACCUACGUGAUCAACAAGCAGACCCCAAACAAGCAAAUCUGGCUGUCUUCUCCUUCCAGCGGCCCCAAGCGCUAUGACUGGACCGGGAAGAACUGGGUGUACUCUCAUGACGGCGUGUCUCUGCAUGAGCUGCUGGCCAGGGAGCUGACUAAAGCUUUAAACACCAAACUGGACUUGUCUUCAUUGGCCUAUUCUGGAAAAGGCACUUGACUGCCAGCCAGAUUCCAAGACAUUAAACACUGUCAGGUGAAGACCCCCAGCCUCCUCCUGUAGCUGAAUGUCUGCCUUCCCAUACCUGCUCCUGAAGAUAGUCACACCGUGUGUGACAGCUCUGUGAAAAAAGUGUGUUCCCUCCCACCCUGUCCCCGGACCUGGCUCUUCAUUUCUACAGACAUUUGUUAGGAUUAUGUCAUUUGCUCCCCAACCUGAGACCUCUGGUCUCUUAGAAAGUCUUAUAUGCUGGGCAGUGGUGGCGCACGCCUUUAAUCCCAGCACUCGGGAGGCAGAGGCAGGCGGAUUUCUGAGUUCGAGGCCAGCCUGGUCUACAGAGUGAGUUCCAGGACAGCCAGGACUACACAGAGAAACCCUGUCUCGAAAAAAAAAAAAAAAAAAGAAAGAAAGAAAGUCUUACACCACAAGUGUGUCCAUGAUAUAACAGCCUCAAAAUGUCUUACACUGUGUGUGCUAAUAACCUACACCAUGUGUGCUAAUAACCUCCUGAAAAGGAAAAAGGCUCAGAGGGAGACAUGAGUCGUUCCCACUCUUCCAUUGUCUCUGAAAAGAUACUCUAAAAGUAACUUCUAAAUGUACCCAAGACUCCAAGUAUGUACACUUCUGAGUCCUGAGCAGCAAAGAGUCAAAAGAAACCAUCUUAAAAUGCCCUUUCGUGCUUUGUCACCUACACUCGGUACCCAGGACCUGGUGCUAUUAACUCUGUGCCUUCAUAGUGGGGGUCAUUUACACAGUUGGCAGCUACGACAUGGACCUGAGAUGUCUGAAAAUUUUGAAAAUUGAGCUGGGCAUGGUGGGGCAUGCCUUUAAUCCCAGCAAUCAGGUGGCAGAGGCAUGCAGAUAUCUCGGUGAGUUUGAGGCCAGCCUGGUCUAUAAAUCCAGGAGAGUCAGGCCAAUUACACAGAGAAACCCUGUCUAAGGAAAAUACGAAGAAAAUUUGAGCUGGAGAGAUCACUUAGUCCACACAAGCAUGAAGACUCAAGUUUGAUCCUAGGCGUCCACGUUUAAAGCCCAGGCAUAUUCUUCACUCGGAAAGUGGAGAUGAGGGGCUUGCAGCCUCAGCAGUAAGCCUGGGGUCUCUGAGAAACACUAUUUCAAAGAAGGAAACUUGCCUGGCUUCAGUUGACCUGUCCUACACAUAUGUGCACAUGCACUAGUAUAGACAUAAACAUGCACACAAAUUCACACAUGUUAAAUAAAUGCAGAAAUAACUACAGGCAAGGAGGACAGACAAAAAUCCCUACCAUAAACCAAAGAACUAAACAGUGUCAUGGAGCCGAGGUCUCGGUUAUCCAUGAGAGAGAUGUCUGUACUGGUACAGAGAGCCCGGCCCUUCAUUUCCAAUCUACUCAGGGAGAGGGUAGAAUAUAGCUGAUACCUGACAUCCAGUGGAGUGGACCUAUCAGGCCAUCCACAAAGCUCUCCUUGUUCCCACUGGGUAGGUGGAAGAAAUGGUAUUGUUCUUGCUACUGCUCUGUUAGAAUUUCAGAUGAAUUCCUAGGGAGCUAGCAGCUGCCCCUUGCUCUCUCUGCUGAAUCCGGAGCACCAUUGCCCUGCCUUAAGUGUGACAGGCUGCGCUUUGUACUGGAAGCAACACAGCUCCAGAACACCCACACGGAGCAACUCUAAACUCGGGUUUGUUUCGGGUUCAGUUCGUUUCUAACUGAAGGAAAAUUGAGAGCAGGGACUCUAGCCCAGUGUGAAGGCUUGCCUAGCAUGCAGAAGGGCCCUAAAGUUCCAUCCCCACACUACAAAGGGCUGAGAGAUUUGUCAGUGACAACUCUUAUGCAAAUGCCCAGCAGAGGCUAUGCAGGGUGAACUGAACACAUUACAUCAUAGACAAAACAAUGGAACAGUGUAAACAGGCUAAGUGACUAUUUAAGAUAUUUCCUUCUUCACAAUUUUUUUUUUAGUCUGGUGGAAAUUUUUGAGUGGUGUAAGUCGGUGCUAGAGAGAUAAUAAAUAGGACCAUGUGUGGACAUGCCUAUGGGUGUCCCUUUGUCUUCUUAUGAAAGACACACACACACCCCACACCCCGCUUGACCCUUAUCAGACCUUCAGAAUGUGCACAGGGCGCGUUCUGAAUGUGUAUGGACGUUAGGGAGUCAGAUGUUAUGGGCUCCUCCUGGACCAGUUUUUGGACUUCUUAACUUUCACUUUAUGUAUUUCUCUGACUGGGUUUCAAGGCAGCCUCGAUCACACUUAAGAGAGAGUAUGAACACUGUGUUGUGUGAGUCAAGUCAUUCUGAACUCCAGGCAUGGGGAUGCUCUUCUGUAGUCCUGGCACUUUGAACUCCAAGGCUCAAAGGUAAAAGAAGGAUGGAAGUUUGGACUUGA
This is an RNA transcript of Mus musculus (house mouse), 3050 nucleotides long. It is a transcript of the gene named frataxin, with no coding region annotated. The record is from RefSeq and is marked validated. Lineage: Eukaryota; Metazoa; Chordata; Mammalia; Rodentia; Muridae. The transcript has 5 exons.